UCUGUUUUCUGCUGCUCUGUUUCCUGUUGGUAUGGUCGAAGAAGAAAACAUAGAGAGAGAGAGAGAGAGAGAGCGAGAGAAAGGGAGAACAAAGGAAGAACAACGACAGAGAGAGGGAGAACUAUCGAGAUAGGAAGUCAUCUCAUAAGGAAGGGUCUAAUCUUGCAUUUUUGGUUGGAUAUUGACAAAGUUUGGGGGCGGAGGAGACCGAGACUAUACACUCGGAAGACUCGACUCAUUGAGUUAUCAUUUUGGGGUUCUUUAUGAGCUAGGAGCUAGACUAACAGCGCAGGAUAUCUUUUUGGACAACGGGGAUCAGUGCGGAGGAUCUUUUUACAGUAGGGCCCACUCCUAGUAUAAGUAGUAAGUUCUUGUAGAAUGUUAUGAUUAAGUUACGACCUGAAACUUUUGUUUAGUUGGGUUAGUGAUAUGGUUGUGGAAAGUACUCUCUUGAGAGUUAUAUAUAUAUAUAUAUAUAUAUAUAUAUAUAUAUAUCAGAACCCGCUGAAUUGGUUAUAUACUUUUGGUAUAGCUUGCUAAAUUGGUUAA
Punica granatum (pomegranate) is the source of this 549-nucleotide non-coding RNA. The record is from RefSeq and is a predicted model, not a curated record. NCBI's taxonomy places the organism in Eukaryota, Viridiplantae, Streptophyta, Magnoliopsida, Myrtales, Lythraceae.